AUGGAAAGAUUGUGACACAGCUACAAUUGGUAUUGCUGGGUGAUUUAAAGCAAGAGGAAGGAACUUGGAACUCCUACCAAAAGAGUGAAGCUGUGUUGUUUCCAGUGAUUUAUGAUUUGGAGCCUAGAAAGCCACUUUUUUUUAUUGUAGUCUUACAAGCACCUGUAUGGUUGUUUCAAAUGUCAACUGCUUUGCACUGAAGGCACACCUGAGGAUCCAAAUGAGAGCAAGUUUUUUUUCCCCAUUAGCAGUUACCCUUCCACAUAGCUAUGAAAUGUGGUAAAGUGAUACUGCAGCAGCUCUGUAGCAGCUACUCUGCUGCUGCUUUGUUUCCAGGGACUGCAGAAAGCUGGACUGGAAGCAUCAGAGGGGGGUGACUGGUGCAGGAUCUCAUUCAACAGUGCGUUCUUCAGCCAUCAUUGCAAAUAGACAGCCGGGCUUUGGCAUUAUGGACCUGCUGAAGUUGGAGAAGAGUCUAUCUUAUGUCUAUACCAAUACUGUAUAUAUUUUUAAAUUAAGUUUUGAGCUUUUUAUGUACUUUUCUAGCAAAGGAUCCAAAUGUUUCCUUCCUUCAGCUGCAGUACUUGGCAAUUCUGUUGUCUUCUUCCUCCCCCCACUCCAAAAGUGACAACCUUGACAAGAGACUUGUUACUGUAAAUCGGCAAUAAGAAACCCCUAAAACUCAAUUUGUGAGCGUUAGCGGGCAGGCAUUCCUUUAUUAUCAGCACCAGACACACAGGAUGAUAGCUCCUCUAAUCGUGUAUGUCCCAUUCUCGGCUUACAUGUUCAGUAAAUGUCUUACACGUUCACUACUUAUAAAGUUCAUGCAUGUUAAUUAGGUAUCUCCACGAUGACAAAGAGGACCAUGACAAGGAUUGCAUUCAGUGCUUUGUCCAUGGCCUGCUGGCCAAAUGCAAAUGGUGGUGCCACACUGGUCAAUGAGGUUCUUUGCAUGCAACUUGGGCUCCAAAGCUCUGGGCUCUCAAAAGCUCACUCAGUUUCGUUCAUCCUACUGAAGGGUUUAGAGGUCCCUUCUUUUGCAAGUAGCUGGGAAAGUGAAGGAAGGCUUGAAGAAGUCCAAAUAACAUUCAAUUAAUGCAAGCAAAACAUGAGCUCUCAGGACACUGCUCUUACCCUUCAGCAGCCAUUGAAACAGAAAUCCACGUUUAAAGCAAUCAGCCGUGAACUCCAUUCACUUCAGAAAUAUGAUGUGCAGUUUGUGUAACUUCUGCUCUGGUCUCCCACCUCUUCCAGCAUCCAGCCUCACAAUGAGAACGAGAACAUAGCUGGUGGGAGAGGGAGACCUGUUCAGAAGACGGACACUUCAUACAAAGGAAAAUGAAUCAGAACUCUUGUCCACAAGAUAUUGCUAGGGCCAGUGCUUAAAAACAUGAUGCAUCCCAGGGUACUUUGUUUUUAAUGAGCGUUAUAAAAUACUCUUCUGGCCAUGAAGCAACAUCUUGAUAGGAGGUCUAGGAAGAAACUUCCUCCAUGGGUGAGUCAUUUCUCUAGUAAAUUCUUAGGGGCUUUCAUGUCUCUUUUCCUGAUAUGCUAAGUCGGACACUGUCUGGAAAUUUUUUGGUUGCAUAUAGGAACUAAUUCUGCAAGCCUUAAUAUCCAAAAUAUUAUUUCAUCUUUAUCAUUGAGGGGAUGUUCUGCAUAGUAGGAGCCUCAACUGACCUCUGCAGUGCAGGGCUGUGCUCAAUGGGCACGCAGUGCUGCCUUCAGCACCAUGAUCCAGCUGGGGCUGCAGACAUUACCCGAGCUCUUCAAGCAAAUCCAAAUAGGCAGCUUUUACCCACCCCUGAGUGGUACCUGCCUCAUGCUUUCAGUACAAGGCUGCAUGGCACAACAUGCACUCGGUGCUCUGGCAUGGAGGGAAGCAGGAGCUGAGCAGCUGAUGCUGGGGCAGGAAGAGGGACUAGAAAGGUGGUUGAUCCUCCAGCUGCUGCAAGGGUGACUGCUGGUCAUCCUGCCACUGUUCCACCCCUGGCUGCAUAGGGGAUGUGCUUCCCUAUGCCUGGUAUGCUGGGGAAUGGCACAUUGCCUGCCCUGUCCUAAGGCGCCGUGCUUUCUGAUCUCUUCCUCCAGAUUUUGCCUUCGUUUAAGACAUUUGCCUUCAAAUUGUCCCUAGAUCCAGGGAGAGACUCGAGAAACAUAGCUUAACACAUUAGACUAGAGCAAAGUGAAUGUCAUUACCCCACAUGCCUGUGGAUGCAGCUGUACGAGGCUUCUGUCAAAUCACCUGCUACUCCAUCCCUUCCUGCAUGAAGUUGGCUGGCAGCCAGGCUAGAAAAGCCCCAACAACAGCUCAGGAGCCCAGCACAGGCAUCCCUCAUCAGGUGGAGAGGAGCAGUGCCUGCAGCUCCCAGUGGCUUUGCACAUCCAUGCCCAAGGCUUCUCCUACAUCUUUGGCUGUAGAAGAAUAUUUCAACUACCCUAACAGUUAAAAAAACGCCUGCUAGUUGUUUAUUGUUCAAGCAUUCCUGCUGCUUCCCAGUAGUUAAUGGAGGAAAUGCCAUGGGAGCCAAGGGAGAAACUGGUCAAGGGAAGCAGAAUAAAUUAGGAUCAUUGUUUCACCCUGGCUCAUCCUGGGACAUCCAGUUGUUUCACACGAGCAUUGGAGCUGGGGGUUUGCAUUCAGGUGUGGCCAAGAGAACUGGAUCUUGGCUCUAAAGCUGCUGCUCCCUUCGGUGAGAUGCAGGAGGUGGGAUGCCUGAAGAGCAUGGCUGGAGAAAGGAGCAUGCUCCCAUGCAGUGGGCCUGGGUGUUGUGUGAGCAUACUGCUGGUAGCCUGCCAGGGCUGCUGCUGACCUGGUGGAGAAGCUGCCUGUUUCAUCCCUAGGCAAAGCACGCCUUUUCCUUCCUUCAGCCGCUUCCUGGAAGGUCUUAGUUCCUAAAAGAACUUAAUAUAACUUGAGCUCAGUCCUGUAGUUGCCCAAAGGCUCUGUUCCAUCAGAUGUGCCCGACAGGAGCAGUGGUGCUUGAUUUAUGUCAGAUUUCACUUUCUCUUGGCCCACAAUACCAGGCAUGACUUCAACAACUUGUGUCCGUAUUUUGCUCAGACUCUUUGACACGAGCUUGGGAGAGCUGAUCUGGGCAGCAGAAGGUUGCCCAGUCCCUUGCCUAACUUCCAGCUGUGGAUGCUGUACAUCUACAAAGGGCAAUUACACCUUCAACUGAGACUUGAGGAAUCCUUGUCAUGGGAAGAAAAGCACAGAAGGUGAUGUGCUUCUGGUCACCUGAUGACUUACAAGGUCUCUUUUUUCUCACAUUAUCCUUUCAGUGCAUGGAUGAAAGGAAGGAAAAGGCUGCUCAAACUGGCAGGUUCUCCUAACCAUGUGUCCUUCUGGCAGCUGUGUGGAUGCGAUGGGGAUGGAAGGAAGAAUAAUGUGCUCACCAGUUACAUAGUUGGUAAUUUAUCCACUGGAAGGGAGAGGUCUGCAGGAGCCAAAGAAAUCAGCUCCACAGACACCUGAGCUAGGGACUAUUGCAGGACUGUCUCCAGUGGCAAUGUGCUCUUACAAUGGGAUGAAGAGGACUAAGUGACACUACUAUACGGCAUUCAAAUGAGUGCACUUCAGAGCAAGGUCCCUUCAACAGCAGCACUGGAGAGAAGAAAUCAGGACACAAUUCUGAUUCUGAGUUUCCUGAGGAUAUGGACUGCUGAUGGAGAGAGGCAGAUGAGGUGGGUGCCAACCUGUGAGACAAAAUACUUUAUUGCAUUCAUCUGAGCAUCUCUCUGAGACAAGGUAAAUGGGCUCAAGCAACAAAAUACAAUCCCAAUGUCAUGAAUUGUUGAGCUCAUAGGGCCUGGUCCCCAGCUGCUUCCUCCUCCUUUCUGCUAUUUUCUGUGCCACUAGAAGAUCAUAUGAAUUGGAGGUCAGGUGGGAGACCCUGCUUUUCAUGUGCUCUGGCAUGGUUCCCACACACGCACACUUCUUUCACAGUUUCGAUGGUGAGCCCACUCUGCAUGGGCAGAAGGUUCUCAUGUAUGGGAAAUUCACCACUGGCUCUCCUUCACAUUUGCACCCCAGAGUACCAAGUUCUCAAAAUUUCAGUGCAGAGGUAGUUCUUUCCCCACCCACUUUCCAUCUAUCCCACCCAGGUAGACAGGAUGAGCAGAAAGAAUCUUUGCCUUGAUGAGAUUGAUAAAUGAGGUUGGAACAGAGCUCCUCUUUUCUGGAGUCCAUAUGGAGUCCUACCCAACUUCAAACUCAUAGCUGAUUCAAAAAAAAAAAAAAAAAAGCUGGCAAGUCCCUAAGUACUUUUAAAGAUUCUAAAGGUUAAAGAUAUGGUCGAUUGGCAUUCUUUUUAGAGCCUGGAGUGAUAGUAUAUUUACUUCACAGAAUUAAAAAGAGUGUACAAUUAGCAUUAGAAACCUAUUAGAUAGAUAUUUGGAAAAGUCAUUUAAUUUUCCAGUGCCACAUAAGUACCCCUCAUUCAUCCCCACUGCACUGGGCUUCAUACUGAUUCUUAACAUUAUACACUACAAUCUACAAAAUAUAAGUAAGCGUAAAAAAGCAAAAAAGGAGAAUACCCUUGUUUUCAAGGAGCUGGCAGAUUACAGACUAACAUCAGCCAUGUCAUUGUAGAGGUUCCAUCCUUAAAAACAGGUAACGUGCUGCAGCACCAUGUAAAAGCAUACUGAAGAUCAAAUGGGUAUUAGUGCCUCUUUACUACAUCUUGCACCUCACUGCAUUCCUUUUUUGGGUUUUGUUUUCAUAAUAAUAAAGGUGUAUGGCCAACAGCCUCUUCCUGUGGUGGAAUAACACAGGGCCAUGAAGGUACAGUUGGGUAGUAGAGUCAGAUGGAUGGCACUAGUGAGAGUUGAAGGUUUGGCAGUGAACUGUCAGUUCGGGAACUAACCAGGACUACUAGCAACAUUUUGGGAAACCAAAGUAGUGCAGCCAGGACCAACACAAUUUGAUAUACUUUCUAGAGAAAAAGUCUGCACAGAAUUUCUGUAUGAAGUAUAAUGAAUGAAGUGGCAGACUCUAGAUGGAUUUCAUGGGAAAAGACUUGAAAUCCUACAAUAUUUUUGACAAAGCUUUUUGUCCAAGUGUAAGUGAAUAUUCUGCAAAGAGCUUCCAGGAUGAAAAGCCCAAUAGAACACUUCCUAUUACUAAUGGGGUUUCUGUUUUAUUCAGGCAUAUAUAUAAUUAGCUGAGACUCCUUUUUGUUGACACAAUCCAUCAAAUGCACCCCAAAAUAUGCUAAUAGCAAUGUGUGUCUGCUUAAUAAGUGUGAAUACUUUGCACAUAGCAGCAAUUGUGCUGACAGUGGAUGACACUGUAAAAUUGCUGUUCACUGCGAUGUGAGUCCUUUCAAACCCAAUGAUUCCUGAUUUUCACUUUCAUAAUCACUGAAUCAAAUUUACUCCUCCCCACUCCCUCACAUUCUACCUAUGUCUGGGAAGCUGGGGAAAUUGUAUUCUACCU
Long non-coding RNA from Lepidothrix coronata (blue-crowned manakin), 5440 nucleotides. RefSeq lists it as uncharacterized. The record is from RefSeq and is a predicted model, not a curated record. The transcript is spliced from 9 exons. NCBI's taxonomy places the organism in Eukaryota, Metazoa, Chordata, Aves, Passeriformes, Pipridae.